Molecule: non-coding RNA, 1137 nt
Organism: Pelobates cultripes (western spadefoot toad)
Lineage: Eukaryota; Metazoa; Chordata; Amphibia; Anura; Pelobatidae
Source: the annotation of a GenBank genome assembly
CAUCACCUAGCCCUGGUGAAGACAACGGAGGUGGGAACGGCGACCUGGUCUGACCACGCACCGGUGACUCUCACUCUCUCCUCCCCAGUAUAUAGGCCGAGGGAGACAAAAUGGAGACUGAAUGACUACCUGCUGUCCCUGCCGGAUGUCCGGACAGAGACGGAUGAGAUCCUGAAGGUUUACUUCACGACUAACACCCCGGACCAAACGUCGCCCACAUACAUCUGGGAGGCACAUAAAUGCGUGAUUAGGGGCCACUUUAUGCGCAAGGGGUCGAGGCUCAAGAGACAAAGAGAAGCCCGUAUCACGUCACUAAUACAUGACAUACAGACAACAGACGACAGUAACAAAAGGGACAACCUCCCCACACACCAGGCUAAGCUACUCGAGCUGAGAAGGGAACUGUCCACACUCCUGAAUGCCAGCCACCAUAGAGAAGCCGCCAGACAAAAAGCAUUUUUUGAGGCGCAUAGCAACAAGAGUGGUACACUGUUAGCACGAAUGCUGGCCAAACGUAGACAGCUGACAUAUAUAGACAGAAUUAAGGACAGGAAGGGAAUAACGCACCGCCUCCCCACUGAUAUACACAGGAUCAUACGCUCCUACUACAUGGACCUCUACUCCCUACUGAACCCACAAGACGCACACGCUCGAGCCAGCCUCGCGGCCCGGAUAACAGACUUCCUACACACCAACACACACACACGAAAAUGGAACAAGAAAUAGCAGACGCGUUGGACGAACCCAUCGCUAUAGAAGAAAUAGCGAUGGCAGUCAAGGCCUCCAAACUGGGCAAAAGCCCGGGCCCCGACGGCCUCCCACUACGCUACUAUAAAAGCUUCGCGGGGACCCUAUACGCACCAAUGCUGUCCUCUUUCAACGCGAUCCGGGAGGGACACCACCUGCCCCCGCAGUCCCUACGGGCACACGUCACGCUCAUCCCAAAAGAAGGGAAGGAUGGCGAUUACUGUAACAAUUAUAGACCUAUUUCCCUCAUAAAUAGCGACACGAAGCUCUUAGCGAAAAUCCUGGCGACCCGCCUGCAGCCACACGUGCCCACCCUGGUACACCCGGACCAGGUGGGAUUCGUGAUGGGACGGGAAGCCAGGGACAACACGAUUCGAGCUCUGUCAAUAG